Non-coding RNA from Phrynosoma platyrhinos (Desert horned lizard), 73 nucleotides. Lineage: Eukaryota; Metazoa; Chordata; Lepidosauria; Squamata; Phrynosomatidae. The record is from the annotation of a GenBank genome assembly.
AGCCAUCUUGGCAUAGUGGUUUAAGCAUUGGACUAUGAUUCUGGAGACCAGGGUUCAAUUACCAGCUUGGCCA